Long non-coding RNA from Bombus pyrosoma, 1099 nucleotides. RefSeq lists it as uncharacterized. The transcript has 3 exons. Lineage: Eukaryota; Metazoa; Arthropoda; Insecta; Hymenoptera; Apidae. The record is from RefSeq and is a predicted model, not a curated record.
UGGUCGAAUUUGAUAAAGUAAAGGUGUUAAAACAAUUGUUAUGAUGUUUCUUCAAAAUGAAAUGCCUUUUCACUUAUCAAAAUUUUCUGUCAUUUCGAAUAUUUUACAGAUAUAGCUUGUCCUAAUUGCAUGGGACACUUUAUAUAUCUUUCCUAGCAAAAGAGUUGAUAAAUCCUAUUCGUUAAGUUGUAUACUUUAUGGUAGUUCUGCAAUUAAAAACUGCGUUUUAUCCGAUUUCGUAUGAUCAUUCGCUGUUGGCAAAGAGCUAUAGCAAUCGUCCGAGAUAUUUCGACGUGAAUCGUUGCUGUUGGUUAUUUUGUUCGUCUUUUAGCGUGUUAGCUAUUACGUCAGGAGGUAUUAUGAAAACGUGAUUCAGGGGAGAGUCUCGAGAAGAACGCGACAUACGUGAGAGACGUGACACACGAGUAUACACUAAGAACAGGUUGUCAAGAGACGAAGAGGAGGAUAACCAGUGACCUCCUGCCUUCGAAAGGCUUUAACCCUCGUUAGACCAGGUGACAGUUUAUCUUUACAUGUGCCACUUCGUCAUGCUCCACUUUGCCAUUUUACCAGCCAGUGUCUUUCAAUCUUUGUCUCUUUUCUUCUAAUGUUCUUCGUUUGAUCUUGAAUGUGAAAAUAGCGAUAAAAAAUAAAGCAAGAUGACUCGAGAAUUAUCAUAAUAUACAUAGGAGCAUAGUAUUCUCUUUAGAACGUCAUAAAACUUUAUGGUCAUCCACGCAAUGUGCCAGCUAUUUUCAUAUGCUCUGUUUAUAUCCCACGUUUCAAUGCUUCGAUACAGGCUUCACGUAUUGUACCGAGGAUCAACAAUUCGUUCGGCGCCUGUUGGGUACAUUUUAUCCUCAGAGAUAAAUAAGUCAGCGUGUGAAGUCAAAAUUAUUUGCAUAGCAGAGGAUGUAACGAAGAUCUAUGAAAUCAUAGGAUGAGAAGAAUUUUUCGAUACUUUAAAUUUAGAAAUAUAUAUAGAGAGUUGAGAUUCUGAGAUAACGAAAUAGUAAGAGUGUUUGUAAAUUUACACUUUUUACAUAUUUUCACGGAGUUAGAAAAUAAUUAGCAAAAAAUUCGCAAAAGAACAGGCCAA